UUGAAUUUUAAUGAAGAGUUUGGUUGUAGCUGGCCCAUUCAUUUGGGCAUGUGCACACCUUCCUCUUUCAUCCCACACACACCUGUGAACCUGUGAGACAGAGAUGGGGAAUUUACUUGCUGCUUUUUGGAAUACAAAGGCAAUAGGUUAUUGGACCCCCCCUCUGUCUACUCAAUUAAUAUAAACUCAAUUAUUUUAAAAACGAAUGUAAUGGAUGUAACACAUCUCAUAC
RNAcentral lists this unclassified non-coding RNA (232 nucleotides) under soil metagenome. RNAcentral's name for it is "partial internal transcribed spacer 1". The record is from RNAcentral.